This 684-nucleotide ribosomal RNA is filed under the name Dendronephthya klunzingeri. RNAcentral describes it as "bacterial SSU rRNA". It matches the Rfam family "Eukaryotic small subunit ribosomal RNA", at positions 332 to 1012 of the family's 1831-position model. Lineage: Eukaryota; Metazoa; Cnidaria; Anthozoa; Malacalcyonacea; Nephtheidae. The record is from RNAcentral.
GGUGUUGGCUUAGCAUGGUGACCACGGGUGACGGAGAAUUAAAGGUUCAUUCCGGAGAGGGGAGCCUGAGAGACGGUUAUCACAUCCAAGGAAGGCAGCAGGCGCGCAAAUUACCCAAUCCCGACUCUGGGAGGUAGUGACAAGAAAUAACAAUGCGGGGCUCUCGCGAGUCUCGCAAUUGGAAUGGGCGCGACUCAAAUCCUCGACGCGAGGACCAAUUGGAGGGCAAGUCUGGUGCCAGCAGCCGCGGUAAUUCCAGCUCCAAUAGCGUAUAUUUAAGUUGCUGCAGUUAAAAAGCUCGUAAUUGGACUUCGGGGCGGCGCGGCCGGUCCGCCGCGAUGCCUACGGAGAGCAAUAGUUCCGCUGGCCUUCCUCAAGCAGACUUUGCGUGAUUUUUAAUGAGUGUGCGUCGGAGAACUGACGUUUACUUUGGAAAAAUCAGAGUGUUCCAAACCGGGUUUUGCUUGGAUACAUAAACAUGGGAUUAUGGGAUAGGACUUUGGGUUUAUUUUCCCUUGGUUUUUGGAACCGGAGUAAUGAUUUAUAGGGACCAUUUGGGGCAUUCCUAUUUCGUUGUCAGAGGAGGAAAUUUUGGGAUUACGGAAGACGAAAUUAAGCGAAAGCCUUUGCCCAGGAAGUUUUCCUUUAUCCAGAACCAAAAUUUGAGGAUCGAAGACGAUCCGA